AACGAACGCUGGCGGCAUGCCUAACACAUGCAAGUCGAACGAGAUCUUCGGGUCUAGUGGCACACGGGUGCGUAACGCGUGGGAAUCUGCCCUUUGGUUCGGAAUAACAGUUGGAAACGACUGCUAAUACCGGAUGAUGACGAAAGUCCAAAGAUUUAUCGCCAGAGGAUGAGCCCGCGUAGGAUUAGCUAGUUGGUGUGGUAAAGGCGCACCAAGGCGACGAUCCUUAGCUGGUCUGAGAGGAUGAUCAGCCACACUGGGACUGCGACACGGCCCAGAAUCCUACGGGAGGCAGCAGUGGGGAAUAUUUGACAAUGGGCGAAAGCCUGAUCCAGCAAUGCCGCGUGAGUGAUGAAGGUCUUAGGGGUGUAAAGCUCUUUUACCCGGGAUGAUACUGACAGUACCGGGGGAAUAAGCGCCGGCUAACUCCGUGCCAGCCGCCGCCGUAA
This 449-nucleotide ribosomal RNA is filed under the name uncultured bacterium. Its description in RNAcentral is "partial 16S ribosomal RNA". It matches the Rfam family "Bacterial small subunit ribosomal RNA", at positions 29 to 523 of the family's 1533-position model. The record is from RNAcentral.